AGUAGAUAUGGCUCGUGGUGACCAUCAAUAUGAUGAUGAUGACUUCAUGGAGCCACCGCCACAGAAUCGUGGGGAUGAGAAGAAGAAGCGUCAGCGCAAUAGGGCUUUGCAAGAAUGACUGACUAUACUGACAGAGGGAUUUACUGAUGAGCAGAAGGCAGCUGGCGGUGAGAUGGGUAUGCAGGCUCUGGUGAAGGUUCGGUGCAUGAACCUAGUAAACCCUGUAUGCGAUUGGCUCGAUGAAAUAUGUGAGCCUGCGUCUAGGGAAUUCAUGAUUCCGGGAUGUGGAAGAUUGUCUUUGAAUGAGGAAUCUGUGUUCUGCACUUUGGGUGUCCCCCGUGGAGAAAUCAAAGUCCCUUAUGAGGUGAACAAUAAGAUUGAGGAAGCUUUGUUCGCCCGUUUGUUUCCUGGAAUGGCAUCCAUGCCUAAUACGACUGUACUAGCAACUUCGUUGGAGGGGAUGACAAACCAUGGCGAGGUUUUUAAGAUGAAGUUGCUCAUGUACUUGAUCUCGACUGUAUUUGCGCCUACCACAUCUCUUCUCCCAAGCAACAAGUGCCCCUAUCCUAGCGAAGCUGAAAGAUGUUAAAAAUAUGAAUUGGUGUAAAUUCAUUGCCGACUUCCUGCAUGAUGCAUUCUUAACUAAGAUGUACCAAAAGGGAUGUCGCUUGCAUCUAAUGCUCAUGUACGUCGAUAGUCUUGAUUUGUCCACUGUGGACUUCACUGAGAUAGGAGGCCCGCCGCCUCCACAUAAGUUUGUUGUCUCUGCAUGGACGUAUGAUGCUGCCAAGGCUGUACUUGCUGCAAACAGGGUAUC
This is a long non-coding RNA of Triticum aestivum (bread wheat), 817 nucleotides long. RefSeq lists it as uncharacterized. NCBI's taxonomy places the organism in Eukaryota, Viridiplantae, Streptophyta, Magnoliopsida, Poales, Poaceae. The record is from RefSeq and is a predicted model, not a curated record. The transcript has 4 exons.